Molecule: long non-coding RNA, 273 nt
Organism: Poecilia latipinna (sailfin molly)
Lineage: Eukaryota; Metazoa; Chordata; Actinopteri; Cyprinodontiformes; Poeciliidae
Exons: 2
Source: RefSeq, a predicted model, not a curated record
UAACGUUUAACUUCUGCACACAAAUAUAAAGUCUGUAAUUGGUCUAAUAACACAACUGAGUGACUUUUUGAAAAAUAAUACAGAGUUGAAUGUUUACGUAGCUAUAAUCUUUUGAACAAUGUUACCAUAGAAACCAUAAGAGCAUCUGCCAAAAGUAAAUAUUUGGACAAAGAUAAAUCUGCGGAGGUCCCUCAAAGAGACUGAAAGGAAAUGGAGAAACUCCAACUGGAAGAGAAGUCUGGUGCUAGCAACACUGUGACAUCACUGGAAGAG